Molecule: ribosomal RNA, 711 nt
Filed under: uncultured marine eukaryote
Lineage: Eukaryota
Description: SSU rRNA
Rfam family: Eukaryotic small subunit ribosomal RNA
Source: RNAcentral
GUUAAAACGCUCGUAGUCGGAUCCCGGGGCGGGUGUGCCGGUCUGCCGAUGGGUAUGCACUGGCGUGCGCGUCCUUCCUUCCGGAGACCUUCCCUACUCUUAACUGAGCGGGGUGGGGAGACGGAUUAUUUACUUUGAAAAAAUCAGAGUGUUUCAAGCAGGCAUCUCGCUCUUGCAUGGAUUAGCAUGGGAUAAUGAAAUAGGACUUUGGUGCUAUUUUGUUGGUUUCGAACACCGAAGUAAUGAUUAACAGGGACAGUCAGGGGCACUCGUAUUCCGUCGAGAGAGGUGAAAUUCUUAGACCAACGGAAGACGAACCACUGCGAAAGCAUUUGCCAGGGAUGUUUUCACUGAUCAAGAACGAAAGUUAGGGGAUCGAAGAUGAUCAGAUACCGUCGUAGUCUUAACCAUAAACCAUGCCGACUAGGGAUUGGAGGAUGUCCAUAUCUGACUCCUUCAGCACCUUACGGGAAACUAAAGUCUUUGGGUUCCGGGGGGAGUAUGGUCGCAAGGCUGAAACUUAAAGGAAUUGACGGAAGGGCACCACCAGGAGUGGAGCCUGCGGCUUAAUUUGACUCAACACGGGGAAACUUACCAGGUCCAGACAUUGUGAGGAUUGACAGAUUGAGAGCUCUUUCUUGAUUCGAUGGGUGGUGGUGCAUGGCCGUUCUUAGUUGGUGGAGUGAUUUGUCUGGUUAAUUCCGUUAACGA